Molecule: small nucleolar RNA, 66 nt
Organism: Catagonus wagneri (Chacoan peccary)
Lineage: Eukaryota; Metazoa; Chordata; Mammalia; Artiodactyla; Tayassuidae
Source: Ensembl
UUUCUGUGAUGAAUCAAACUAGCUCACUAUGAACUAACAAUGAAAAGAUAUGAACACCUGAGAAAC